Molecule: ribosomal RNA, 498 nt
Filed under: uncultured bacterium
Lineage: Bacteria
Description: partial 16S ribosomal RNA
Rfam family: Bacterial small subunit ribosomal RNA
Source: RNAcentral
AUUGAACGCUGGCGGCAUGCCUUACACAUGCAAGUCGAACGGCAGCACGGGAGCAAUCCUGGUGGCGAGUGGCGAACGGGUGAGUAAAGUAUCGGAACGUGCCCAGCCGUGGGGGAUAACGUAGCGAAAGUUACGCUAAUACCGCAUACGAUCUAUGAAUGAAAGCGGGGGAUCGCAAGACCUCGCGAUUCGAGCGGCCGAUAUCAGAUUAGGUAGUUGGUGGGGUAAAGGCUCACCAAGCCGACGAUCUGUAGCUGGUCUGAGAGGACGACCAGCCACACUGGGACUGAGACACGGCCCAGACUCCUACGGGAGGCAGCAGUGGGGAAUUUUGGACAAUGGGCGAAAGCCUGAUCCAGCCAUGCCGCGUGCAGGAUGAAGGCCUUCGGGUUGUAAACUGCUUUUGUACGGAACGAAAAGGUUUGGCCUAAUAAGCUGAGCUCAUGACGGUACCGUAAGAAUAAGCACCGGCUAACUACGUGCCAGCAGCCGCGGUAA